This 606-nucleotide ribosomal RNA is filed under the name uncultured bacterium. RNAcentral describes it as "bacterial SSU rRNA". The stretch from base 1 to 517 matches the Rfam family "Bacterial small subunit ribosomal RNA", at positions 338 to 873 of the family's 1533-position model. The record is from RNAcentral.
CCUACGGGAGGCAGCAGUGGGGAAUAUUGGACAAUGGGCGCAAGCCUGAUCCAGCAAUGCCGCGUGAGUGAUGAAGGCCUUAGGGUUGUAAAGCUCUUUUACCAGGGAUGAUAAUGACAGUACCUGGAGAAUAAGCUCCGGCUAACUCCGUGCCAGCAGCCGCGGUAAUACGGAGGGAGCUAGCGUUGUUCGGAAUUACUGGGCGUAAAGCGUACGUAGGCGGUUAUUCAAGUCAGAGGUGAAAGCCCGGGGCUCAACCCCGGAACUGCCUUUGAAACUAGGUAGCUAGAAUCUUGGAGAGGUCAGUGGAAUUCCGAGUGUAGAGGUGAAAUUCGUAGAUAUUCGGAAGAACACCAGUGGCGAAGGCGACUGACUGGACAAGUAUUGACGCUGAGGUACGAAAGCGUGGGGAGCAAACAGGAUUAGAUACCCUGGUAGUCCACGCCGUAAACGAUGAUAACUAGCUGUCCGGUCACUUGGUGACUGGGUGGCGCAGCUACGCAUUAAGUUAUCCGUCCGUCGGGUAGGUACGGUCGCGAGAAUUAAACUAACAAAGAAAGUUAGACGGCGUGAGACGUGCCGACGGACGACGACGAGGGAGGUAGG